GUGACAUUGUUAAAUUCUCACAUAAACACCGAAGAAAAACUUGCUGAGCUGAGCCAUGUGACGGAAUUAUGGGAAAAGAACAAUUCAUCGUCUACAGGUCAAGAGAGCUUGCAAAGAGCUUCGGAGGUACUUCAAAUAAAUUGUAUUAUUUAUACAUUGUAUUAACCUCUUCCCCAGACACUGUGAAGACAAGGGAUAAAUUAGUUCUAUAUUAACAAUAAUGAAAAUAAAAAUUAUUUAUUGUAUCAGCAUUGCUGCAUCUAGUAACACACUUGGAAGAUGCUUAUGUAGGUGUUUUAUCGAAUUACAUUUGUUAUAUACUUAAUUAAGAGUGUUUUACUGGACCAUUUGUGCAGUUAACGAAUUGGUCAUCAAGGUAUUACCAUGUACACACUUUGGUUCCAUGAAAAAAAAAGUCAUAGAACUAAUGUGUUAAAGGAAUUCUUGUCUUCAAAAUCUGAGAGCAAAUAAUGCAAUGAUUCUUAUUCAUAAAAAAACACAGUGAAAUUAUCUUAGCAUCAUCCAGAAUUUGCUCUGGGUACGUAAUUCCCUGAAUUUCCGUAUCCAUAGCAACCUAGGUAACAAGUAAUGGAACAUUAACUUACUUUUCAUGCAAGAGGCCAUGUAAAAGCUACACACGUGUAAACUGUAAUUAUGUCAAGCACACUGUAUGUUUCCGUAGGCUUAUUUUAAAUGGCUAAAGGUGCUAUUUUGCCUUUAUUUCACGUGGCUGCGACAAAAAACUAGAAAUAUGGUAUAAUUAGACUGAAAUAGGUUGAGAUUGUAAAAUCCUUCUUACCACUAAAUCUGUAAUUUUUCUUCACAUUUAAAACGCAUAGCUCUCCACAAUUAGAGGUAUGAAUGUGGGACUGUGGGAGGGUAGACCACUAGGUGUCUUUUCAGUGAUGCCAUGCAUGUCAUUGGUGAUGUGGUGAAGAGUGUGCUCACUCGAAGACGGAGUGAGUUAGUCUGGAAUAUGUGUGCUAUAAUGACUUGCAGUUGCACUGGUCAGCUCCACUCAUGGGGUAGGCAACCCUCGGCACUCCAGAUGCUUUGGACUACAUUUCCCUUGAUGCUUUGCCAGCAUUAUAGAUGUAAAAGCAUUAUGUCUAUAUAUGCAGUAAUCUCUCUCUAAUGUUGACUCAAUGCCCUGAGUCUAAUUUCCACAGUGCCAAUGCACAUGUGAUGUCCUUGACAUAGGUUUAUUGAAGAAGUCACUGGUUGUCUCAGACGUAGAAUGACAGAGAACUAACCUGGCGCAGUGGGACAGCAGCCCAAAUUUGGGACUGUCUCACUGAACCCAGGACUUCUGGGAGGUAUGAAAAUAUAUUUUUAUAUCAUUAGAUUUCUAGAUGAAAGCUUUAACGAAACAAACUGGAAAUCUAUUCACUGUGGAAGGUUGAGAACUAAUUUGCAAAAUUGUAUGCCAACACCUUUCCAGUUGCUUUUGCAUUAAAGGUACACUCCAGGCACUAUAACUAUUCCAUCUCAUUGAAGUGGUUAUUGUGCUUCGAGUCGUCUGCUACCAUCCAUCCCCUCUGUGUUAAAACAUAUUAGAAUAGUUUAACACUGAAGUAUCAGCCCGAGCAGUGAUGGCCACCAAUAAAUAACUGAGAGCAUCAGCAUCAGAGCUCUCCUCGUAUGACAGUAUUGGUGUGGCAUACCUCCUGUGGGUUGCUGGGGACCCUCAUCCUGUGUCAAAAAUAUCCAAAAAAUACUGAACGAAAAGAUAUGCCAGCACACCUCAGAUACUAUACCAUUUUAAUGUGCUGGUAGCUUUAGUGCCAAGAGUGUCCCUUUCAAAGGUCCCUUCCAAGUAUCAUUACAAUACAGUGCAUCCUGGCACUCAUUCAUUGGCUGAGAGUGUCAGCUGAGGGCUCUCAGACAAUGAAAGACCUUGUAUGCAUGGAACAUGCACAUAAUUCACAUUAACCAGCCCGGGACUCUUUUUACCAAAUAGCUAAUGACGUCUUAAUGAUGUGCAGAGCUUCAGUAUAAAACGGUGCACAAACACACAGCAAGCACCAUGACCACCUCAGAUUACUGCAGAGAUCAUGGUGUUUUGCAGGAACUCUUAAUGGUUUGGAUGGAAAACAUUUAGCUGGUCGCUGUCCAAGGUGCUAUUACAUCUCUCUUCAUAAUGGAAAUGUUGUAAGAGUUGUUACUAGGGUUACGGGGAUAGAUAUGUAUGUAGUAUAAGGUGCUUAUAAUUUGUAUACUUUUAUGUUUUGUGUGUUUGUUUUAACUAGCUGCUCAAAACACCUAUGAGUUAUUCUUUUAGUAGCUCAAAAGGUUAAAAUGCAUUUUAAAGGGAUUAAUGUACAAAGUAUUACACACUCUGCAUAUUUAUUGUUUGGUAUAAUUACUUAAGAAGUUACACCUUAUUAAACUGGCACUUAAAAUACAUAUUUACACAAAUUUGAAAAGGAUCUUUAAGGAAUAUAUUCCAAUACUAAGCGCUCCACCAUAUAAUUCACACAUUCUAUGGAAAAUUAAAGUUAGAUGACAAUUAGGGCCAUGGUUAGAAUAUGGGGUGUCUGUGUUGACAAUGCUACUGUCUGGUUGUUGUACCCCACAUUGUAACAAUGUGCACAAUUAAGGUUACAGUGUGCUCUAUUGGCUGUUGUGCCAUUAUAAAAUUAUUACAAUUAAUCAAUGCUAUCUUAUAAUCCAUGUUGUCAUUGGAAUCAUUUUAGUCUAUGUUCUCUAGGAUUACAACGCUGACUGGAUCCAUUCUCAAGAAAAUGUUUGAGCAUUGAAACACCUCCAUUUGAGUCUUUCUAUGAAAACUGUGUACAUUGUAGCUGUGUGUUCUCUUGGCUGUUCUCAAUAAACAUUCAGUUUACCUACCCAUACUUUUUAAAAAGAACAUUUCCUCUUUAAUAAAGUGUGUCUCAGUAGAACAAAAGUUCAUGUUCUAGAGCAGUGGUUCCCAAACCAGUCCGCAUGGCCCACCAACAGUCCAGGAUUUAUGUAUUUCCCUGUUUUAUUCCAAUGGAGAUACUAACAAAACCUGGACUGUUGGGGGGUCUUGAGGACUGGUUUGGGAAACGCUGUUCUAGAGGAAAUAGGUUCUAGGGGAAAAUUCAAUUCCAAUUAAUAUUUUAAGGAGAAUUUGGGGUAGGGUUGACAAUGCUUUGUCAUAAUAGUGACUGAGAAUAUGUUUGGUGCAAAACUUUGGCCUUUGAUAAAGCCAGCUUUUACGACGGGAUGUCGGAGUUUAACGAUCUGUACAGUAUAUUUGUAGCAAAGUAUAGCAGCUGUUGCAUGAGUGCAGUAGAUGUGGUACAAUCGGUGGGCAUUUGAAAUAAAUGAAUUAUUAUAGAAAGAGAGGUGAAAUUCCAGCUAGUUUUGGAAAAAAAAAGACAAGAUUUAAAAAUUCAUGUGUGGACUUAUGUCUAGAGGACAAACUUCAUUCAGGUAAUUUAAAUGUAGGCAUUACCCUUACAGUUAAGGAAUGCUGGCUGAUGCUGAUUAUUUUUAAAGAAAUGUGAAAAAAUUGUGUGUUUUAGAGGAUAACGUUUCUUCAAAAAAGUUCUAAUAUUCAUUCUUUUUUUAAAAAUGUUUUUGUGAGGUUAUUUAAAUAAGUUUACACAUCUAUAUUGGAACCAGGUGCUUUGUCAACCAUUCAAUUAUCGUUAUAAAAUAAUAAAUUUGGCCCUUUUCUGCCUUUGAACAUAUUUAGGGAAGAGAGGAAAAACACUUAUUUCUUCUCCUCCUCAUUUGUAUUUUGUGUCCUGGAUACACCUGUCCUGAACUGGAUUGCUUGCUAAAUAUUUAGUAUACAAUGCAUUUUAAAAGAAAAUGGCUAAUCAUAUGAAAAAAAAAAGUUAAUGCUGUUGAAGCACUUACCCGAUCGAUGUGCUGCUCCGGUUUUCCUGUGUGUGUUGCGAUGGUCGAUCGGGAUGUGGCAUCUUCAGAUUCUCUUCUGCCUUCCUACUCGGCACUUGAAUUUGUACUUCCCGACUGCACCGAAUGCGCCAAUUGGCAGGCGAAUGCUUUCAGGCUUGCUUGCAGUGCCCCUUUAUUUAUAUUGAUAUAUAUAUAUAUAUACAUGUUAUUUCCUGUUUUGGCAGUGCCACAUCAUUACUGCGACCCCAUUCAGGCACUUUUUUGGGUCUCAACAGUGACAUGGACCAAUUAGUGUCCACAUCGAUAUUUAAAUAGCGUUUUAGCACCAUAGUCAUUGCCCUGUCAUGGGUUCCACUUGGUUUCUUAUAUAACGCGUUAUAUUUACCCUGAUAUUCUGGUUAUUCGAUUUUGGCUUGUUUACUGACUCUUCUAACAGCUGUAGUCCUGACCUGGCUAGUUAUAUCAUAUUUUCAUAUUUCUGGUAUCAUGAUCUUCGCUAGUUUUACGUUUACACUCUCUAUUUUUUUAAUGUUAAAACCGGCAUUUCUAAGGUCCGGUAAUAUGCAUUUUCUGUCUUCAUUUUCCUGACCUAUGCUUGUAAAUUGGGUGGUGUAGCCAUGAUAAAAGGCGCGUUAUAUGUGAUUUUUAAUGUUUUAUCCAAUUACAUAAUUUCUAGAGAAGUUACAAAUCUGUUUUAAGGGACACUUAAAAAUAAUAGAUUAAUGGGAUGUGUUUGCUAAAUUCUAACCUGUUAAUACAAUUCUGGUGAAAGGUUGUUGACACUCUUUAUUCAGAAGAAUUAUCAAUGAUUCAAUGUAUAAGUUUAAAAAGAAAACAAAGAUCCAGUGUUGGAGAACACAAAGUACAAAAUAGAGAAAUGUAAAAUGAAAGGUACAUGUCAGUAAAUACCCAUAAUAACAUGAUAAUAUAAAUGUAGAACAAAUAUGCUUCCCACUUUCAAUGUGUGGGGGUAAAGUAACGUCAUUAGACAUUCUUUCUUCACCCAUCCCCUGGUACUAGAAAUUGUGCAUAAAAAGAUGAAUGCGCCAAAGUAUGUCUUAUUAUUUGGACCAUAAGUGUAACAAAAGUACUUAAAGGGACACUCCACUGCCGAAAAAUCACUGUUUAAUAGAAAUACCCCAAAUGAAAACUUGCACACUUGUAAUGAUGCAUUAUUUUCAUUAGGGUACAUCUAAAAACAACUUGCAAAGGUUGCAGAUCUCUUGUCUACAGCCUUUGCAAGCCCUCCCCUUCUAAGUCCGCCCAGACUUUUUGUGGCUGUCCAAUCAUAGACUUCCCAAUGCAGCGCAAUAAGAAGUCGUUGCAAGACAGGUGCUCUGGGGAACUGCUGCCUCUUGAGUUUAGUUCCACUGAGCCAAACAAACCAGAAGGUAACAUGACCGGUUGUCUGAUUAAAAGAAAGUGUGGUGUAACCAGCAUAAUUCACAAAAAUUUAAAUUUCUAUUGAAAUCUACAAUUUUUGGAAAAUGAAAAGAGGACACACUCUUCACAAAUAAAGCUUUUCUACUGUUUUGGAUCAAAGAAAACUUUGAUUAUUUGUCUAUCUACACCUUCCAAAUUGAUUAAUUAAUGCGUGCACGCUUUCCCUAGAAGUAAUUCACACCGGAGACAAAGUUUCUGAUCAGUGAAAAACCCAGGAAUGCUUUAUUCCCCGGAGUGGGGGCUCCUUCUUAAAGCAAAAAUACGUCACAGUUUAAACAUACAGUAUACAUUCACCAAUUGGUUAACAGAGAAAGGGGCCUCUUGUUUAAACCCCCCUACAGAAUGUAGUGUCAUCAUUACACACUUUUAGAUACACGGAGAAAGGGGGAGUGAGUGGUAUCUAUCAGUUCUAAACCAAUGAUCCUCCAUUUAGCUAUAUAUGGCAUAUAGCUGUUAACUGGCACAAAGGGGAGGCUAGCAGGAUGUGAGGAAUUUACAUAGUAAACAGCAGCUGACCACAUUGUAAGGGGGGGGAAGGGAACAUUUACUCUAGAAGCCAGUUUUAACAUAGUGAACAGAGAAUAAAUAGACAUUAGUAAAUAGCCAUUUUAUUUUAAUUCAUCUGUCCAUAACAGUCCCCCUUAAAAUGGCAAUUUUUACUAAAACUACUAUCUCUCAUUCUAAUACUGUCCCUAUAGAAAAAUAACAAAAGGCUAUCUUGCACAUCUGUCUGAACAGGCCUCGAACACUUCACUGCGCGGGUACCCCAUAGCAGCUUGUCCACUACUUCUCCCGCGGCAGACUUCUGCCCGUAGAGACAGACGCUAUCCCUAAAUGUCCUUAAGAGGAAGUAGCUGUUGAUUUAGUGCGGUGGGACUGUAAGGGUGUAUGUGGUGUAUCACGGUCGAUAUCGUCAAUCUCUUGGUGAAGGAAGGUCGGGGUGGUCUGGUCGAUUGCCUGAUCAACUGUCUUUUGUAGGCAUUUCUUAAGACAGGGUAACACACAACAAACAAGAAGAGCGAGGAUGAUCGUUAUUAAAAUGGCAACACCUAUUUGGGCCAGAGCACCUUGCCAUUCAGACAUCCAUCCAAACCAUCUUUCCCAUGGAUCUGUGGCCCCAGAAUUUCGUUUCAGUUCAUUGGACAAACUCUUUAACUUUUCUAUUGCCAACGUUACCUUACCAUUAGGGCCUGUAUUAUCUGGAAUAUAGGUACAGCAUGUCAUGGUGUCUGGGAGUAUUUUACAUACUCUCCCUUUUUCUGCUAAAAUCAUUUCCAAGCUUAUUCUAUUCUGGAAGGUCAUCUGAGAGAUAGUUUGUAACCGCCCUAUCCCACCAUAUAUCCCAUAACAAGUAUCGUUCCCGGGCUAUAUAGUAAUGCCUUCGUCUGGGUUAAUAUUUUUAGUAAUGAUUGGGUAUUAAGUUUCCAUGACUCGCAUGCUGACCGCUUAGGUUUAAAUACAGUGUAGAGACUUAAAACGCAUACUUCAUAUCCGGAGGAAGGUUCAGGGAUACUGUACCUGGGUGAGGCCUCGCUCCUCUGCAGACAUAGCAGUUAGACUUGUUAUGUUUAGUAGCAUUGUAUUUCAUCCAUUCAAGUCACAAGUUAGUGUCAGAGAAACCUGUCUCUACAGCCCUCUUAUCCUCAAAUAUGGGAUGACUACCAUGUCUUUUAAAGUCCUAAUGUGUGGUUUGAGGGGAUUAACAGUCAUGUGCGUGGCACCUACCCAUUCAGCUGAGUCAUACAUGUCCUGUAAGAAAAAGGUCUCCUGUUUAUUGUAUAAACCUCUUCCCUUCCAAUUCAGAUUUUAUUAGCCGUAAUGCUUGGGAGAAUAGAUUCAAACUUAGUUUCUUACCUUAAAAUUAUUUGGUACCCCCCUUGACACCCCUAUGGCAUUAAUAUACAUAUAUAUAUAUAUAUAUAUAUGUGUGGGUAAAACCACCCUUUAUAGGGGUACUCCUUUUUGUCCUGAAGCAUGAAUGAGGUGUGUCAAGAGUACCUUGGGGAUUGUCAUGUGUUAUGUGUAUGGACAUAAUAACCUAGGCUAGGGCACAUUUACUUAUUCUUAGAAAUCUUGUCUCAUGCUACCCUAGUACUGGCAGAUUCAGAUUAUUUAAACAUUCAAUAUUAAUAUCACCACAAACUCAAGAUAAGCAGAUGAUCUUGAAGAAGCUUUGACUGUGCGUAUGGCACCUCAGACGUGAGGGCUGCAGGGUAAGGAGUAUGUUUGUUUCUCUUUAGUUUCACGAGGUCCCCUUUUGGGGUAUUCAGCUUUCCAUCGAUGGCAGGUGGUCAGGCAUUAUUAUGGCCAUCAAAACACCCACUUGUUGAUAUUUAUUUAUUUAUUUUCAACAAGUAUCUUUGUUCUCUAAGAAUGGAGUUUCAAAAAGGGUUGUCAAGAUCAACAAAUGUUACUUCACAUGAUGCAGAGGCAGGCUUGAUUCUGGAAUGAUGAACCCACGGGGUGAUCUCUGUAACUUUCACGGUGCACUACUCAGCAUGUGGUCUUGGUUAUCACUUUGGUGGCUGGAUAGGCCUCUGGCCAUCCUGAAAACAUGUCUGCUAUAAUUAGUGCAUAUUUGAAUCAGCCAUUCUUUGGCAUUCUGGCGACUUGACUCCUCUGGAAGAGAUAAUGAGGUUUGGCUAGAUGCUUGGGGCUUUCAUCCAUUCUUCUUGAGUUGCCCUUGGCACAAAUGGCACAAGAUUUACAGUAACUGUUGGUCAGAGAGGCAAUUCCUGGUACUUCAGAGUAUUUAUUGAUCAAAAGAGUUCAUGAGGGUUCUGGACAGAUGCUCCGUAGGCCCACUGGACCACUGCUGAGUAUAUGUUCUUGGGCAAGUAUAACUUGAGAUUGUUGAAGUACAGCCUGUCUUUAAGAGUUGCCCCUUUCUGUUUCCAGCUUGUGGUUUGUUUGUUUUUUCUUUCUUUCCAGGGUCAGUAGCUUGCUUGUUAUUCCUCCGGGAGCUUGAUGUCUGUGGGUAGGAUCUUACAUGGUGAAUAUGGGAGUUUCUUCAGCAGACACUUUUCUGUCCACUUCCUUUAGUGCACUUACAACUUUUUGAACAACUUAGUCAGCCAGAGAGCUGCCACAUGCUUCCUCUGAGUUCAGUCUUCCUUCAGAGAUCUUGCAUGGUGUGAUGGGAGUCUAUAGCUCAGCUUCUUGUGCAGACAUUGUUGAGGUGAGAUACUUGGUCCACUGUAGUGACAGCAAAUCCGGAACAGAACAUAAGAAAAAGGCUAAAAAAAAAAAUAAUAGUCAGUGUCUUAUCAUUUCCCCCCUUGGGAAGUGGCAGAAGAGUGGCCAGGUAAAUAGAGUAUCAUCCCUGCAGGGUGACAUUAUCCUGCACAGAAUUCGUCCAUCACAAGGAGAGGUGGGAUAUUGCAUGGAAAGUCUCAGGUAACCAGGGCAACAUUCGACACCAGAGCCUUAACCUGUUAGGGAAUAGUAAGAGCUUGGACAGGCUUUGGGGCCUGUAUAAUUCAGGUAAAGGUAUUGGGGGAACUAGCUAGGACCCUUGCCUCUUGGUCAGGUUUCACUGUGUGGAACAAAAUGAAUAAUAAGGUGAUAGGGGCCUGCAAGUGGGGGAAGGACAUCUGCACCUAGCAGAUUAAUUGGACAGGUGAAGGUAACCACAAAGCAAGGCUUAGUUAACAGGCUACUCCAAGGAGAGCCAUCUACACUUAUGCAGGAGACAACAAUGUUAGACAGGAAUGAGGAGUCAGGCAGGCCUUGCUUGGUACAAAUAGAUGUCAUGUGGCCUGCUAUACAAGGCUGCAUAUAGUUAUUGGGCAUGGGCCUUACUAUGUACUAAAACUUAAGUUAAAAGAAAAUUUGGGACAACCUGAAGUGAUGCUUCUCCACAGAUGCUAACUCAUCGUUGAUGACAUUGUUAAUACAGGUAGCCUGAUCAGCCAAUUUAUCUUAGGCUUAAACAAGUCACACCAUGUAGUGGAAUGGGUCAUUAGGAUUCGGGAAAUUCUACAGUAAAAGGGCAUAGUAAGGAUGUACGCGAUGUUACUUUAGGAGUAGGCGUGGCUGUGGAUAGGGGGAAAUCAGCCUUAUCCAUUCCCAUAUAUUAUUCCUUUUGUCUUCAGUAUAUCCAAAACAUGUGUAUGUCCAGGCGUUGCAAUAUACAGUAAUCCAUUAUCAGUCAUGAUAGUAAAAUCUCAUUCUCAUUAAUUAAAUCAAAGAUUUUAAAUCAACCUCAGAAGUAACAACAUUGUUUUUACCUUCUGUAAAAUGAUUGGAGUUACUGUAUAAUUGCAUACACCCAAUAUAACAUACAUUGCAUGUUCCUCACUGCUACAUUAGUGUAUUUCAUUCUGCCAUAUUUGCAAACUUGAUGUACAUUUUUAUUUUAAUUAAUUAACCUAAUACUUUCUUAAAAUACAUAUAAAACAAUGAAAAAAAACAGUUCAGACUAACAUUUCAUUAAAACAAACUAACAUAGAACUCUAUUCUUGGCUGUUCUUAAUUCUGGAAUCAGCCUGUGUACCUCUGUUGGCAGACAUAUCCAUGCUCAUUCCCUAAACUGAUCAUAUCUCUUGAAGUUAUCUGAUUCUUAUAACUUUCUGUGUUACGCUGCAUUGUUUGUCUGUCUCCUAAUUUCGAUUUAGCUAAAAUUGCUUUUAUUUGUCUGAUUAUAAGUUUACAAGGAAAGGCUUUAAUUGAUUUAUCUCCACAUGUAUUUUCUCUGUCAAAAUUUUCAAUCAACAAAUUUAAUUUCUCAUUUGCUUUUGAUUUGAUAUCUCGGAUAAAAUAUCUGCAAGAUCUUGAAUAAUGUUGUUUAUUGCACCAAAAACAAAUAACUUUAGGAGUUAUAUUCUGCCCUAUAUUAUCAACUGCCCUAUAUUUAGUUGAAUAAAUUGGGAGGGGCUCAGCUGUCUGUAUCACUCUACACUCUGUCCUAGAAGAAGAAGAAGAAGAAGGGGGACGGGGGCUGUAACAUCUGCACUUCUUUCUCUGCCUAAAGCCACAAGUCGUUUUAACCCCUUCAUUCUUGGUUUCCCUCCUUAAGUUAUCCAAGAACAAAGCUACUUCUGUCAAAGUGCUUUUUUCUCUAGCUACCACAAUUGCAGUUGGAUCUAGAUCUUGAAAUUUUUUCACAAAUUCAUUAAUUAACUGAUCUUCAGAAAAAUCAGCAACAAGUCUAUAUGCAUUUUCAAAUUUUACAAGAAAACUAAAUAUAUCCUCCCCUUUGUGUGGUUUUAGUUUUUCCAACAUUUCAGUGUCUGCAAAAUCAUUCCCUGUUGUUAAUUUUAUUAAUUGUGUUAAUCUGUCUUGCUUAUUUCCAUAUAUUAUUUUAUCAUUGUCCUGAAAUUUUACAAGCGUGGUCAGUCUACAUGCCAUUUGAGUCGGCAGCCAUAUUUUAAACAAUCUAUUCCUUUGUUCGUCAUUUAGGCUGUAUUUGUCCACAUUUGACUCAAACAUUCCAGCAUUAGUAAAUGCAUCCACUGACGUGUCAUAAACUGGAAUACAUUUCACAAUUUUCAUUAAUUGUUCAUGUAUUUUCAAAUUAAGUUUUGCAGCUCUGUCUUGAAAUUUAUAUUUCUGCAAAUCACUCUGUGAGGAUACAUUUUCAGUAUCUAUUGGUUCUGGGAUUAGAUUCUGUGUCUGUAUUUUUCUUGUAUUAACACACACUUGCUUAACUUCAUUUCUAAGCUGGCAAAUAAGAUCAUUUCUUAGUUCAACUCUAUCCUCUAAUUCACAAACUGUUUCUGACAAUGUGCUCUCUGUUACAUUGUUACACUGUUCAUUUAAAUCUGAUUUGUCUUCUGUUAACCCAUUCAAAUCUACUUCUUUUUCUGAUGAUUCUAAAUUUUCUUGAUCUGCAUUUCGUUUACAAAUCAAUGCAUUGUAAGUACAGACUAGUUUCAUAACAUUUCUGAUCUUUUGUUUUUUUUUCUUAUUAACAAACAAUUUCUUGUCAAUUUCACUAUUGGCAAUUUCACAUUGUGUGUAUAAAGAUUGCCACAAAACAGCAUCUGAAUAGCUGCUAUUAAAUGCAAACUGCAAUUUACUUUUCUCUGCGAUAUUCAUUUAUAAAUUCCACAAUUCAUUUGUUCCAACAAAAUCUAACUUUCCUUAUUCCAACAUGCCAAUAACCUCUUGCUUAACAACAUAUACAAGAUUACACAAAGUUCCUAACUAGGUUAUUCGUCCAGCAAAUAUACCUUGUUUCCCUCACAUUCCUCACUGAGUUUACAAGCAUUUCACCCAUUCACCCCACCCCCCUGUAGCCAAUACUCAUAGCAGUCAGAGCAAGAGAAAGCAACAAAGAAGGAGGGGGGAGGAGGGAGGAAGACUUGCAAGCACAAAGUUUUUUAACCAUGUGAUUGCCUAAGCGCAGCUCUCCUUAGGACAAAAGAUAGAAUAGGAGAGUAACGAUACAGAUUGUAUAGAUUACAAUUAACAUAUAUGGUACCCAACAAGACAUACACAGACAAAAGCACAAAAUACAGAUGUAAUUAAAUCACAAAGUUCUUAAAAUAAAUGCCGGCUUAUAAUAAAUCAAAUCACACACACAGAAACACUCAAGCACAUAAACCGCUCCUAUUUAAACUCUUGACCGAGUCUUAAUAAAACAAAGGAACCGCCAGGUUUUUUACCAAACGAGGCCAAAACAUCACUCACUAGCUUCUUUACCAAAGCUUAGCUAAAAUAAUUUUAUUUUUUUAUUUUUUUAUUUAUUUAUUUUUUAAAUUAUUUUAUUUAUUUAUUUUUAAACUCUUGACCGAGUCUCGCAAUAACUUCUUUACCGAAGCUUAGCUAAAAUAAAUAUAGAGCCAGGGGUUUUCCACCAAACCCGAACUUGGCUAAACCUGCAAGUGCUUAACCACACUUGGCAGCAUUAUAUAACAGUAUUAAGCAAGUAGUAAAACAGAUUCUCAAACAGACACUUUCACACAUAAAACUCUCACUCAGGACUCAGGCUGUAGAUAGACAAGUGACAGGUUCUAUAUAAAAGGGGACAUUCGGGCAUAUAUAUAUUACCUGUCUGAAGACGUUAAACACCGGAAGCCGAAUGUGAAGGCACGGAGAACAAGAGAAAUCCAAAGAAAGGAAAAUAUAGGUAAGUAACUCAUUUACCAUAUGCAGAGGUGAUCAGGCUCCGUUUCCAAUCUCUGGGAAUCCUUUGCUCUCCUGUCUUGGGAUCUGACGGCUGCCUUAGUAACGUAUCCCUUAAAUGCCCGCAUUCUCCACCAAAUUGUUUUGGAUCAAAGAAAACUUUGAUUAUUUGUCUAUCUACACCUUCCAAAUUGAUUAAUUAAUGCGUGCACGCUUUCCCUAGAAGUAAUUCACACCGGAGACAAAGUUUCUGAUCAGUGAAAAACCCAGGAAUGCUUUAUUGCCCGGAGUGGGGGCUCCUUCUUAAAGCAAAAAUACGUCACAGUUUAAACAUACAGUAUACAUUCACCAAUUGGUUAACAGAGAAAGGGGGCCUCUUGUUUAAACCCCCCUACAGAAUGUAGUGUCAUCAUUACACACUUUUGGAUACACGAUGGGAGGGGGAGUGAGUGGUAUCUAUCAGUUCUAAACCAAUGAUCCUCCAUUUAGCUAUAUAUGGCAUAUAGCUGUUAACUGGCACAAAGGGGAGGCUAGCAGGAUGUGAGGAAUUUACAUAGUAAACAGCAGCUGACCACAUUGUAGGGGGGGGGGAAGGGAACAUUUACUCUAGAAGCCAGUUUUAACAUAGUGAACAGAGAAUAAAUAGACAUUAGUAAAUAGCCAUUUUAUUUUAAUUCAUCUGUCCAUAACACUACAAGCUUAAGUGCUUUAGGGGUCUGGAGUGUCUUUUUAAGAAAGUACAGUGCGAAAGGAUGCCAGUCUCAUUGAAUCUCAGUUUGUCCAAACUUAUCAAAGCCACCAGAUGGAUGCCAGUUGUGUUACAGAUCAUUCCUUCCCACAAGCCGUUAGUAAGGAGCUAACUUAGAGAUGUUACCCUAACUCAUUUAUUUCAGCUGACAUUCAACAAAUUUGUUGCUAAGUCAAUUUAACUAAGCCUUUCGUGAAUUUACGCCCACUUUUUUUCUUUCGGUGAAUCAUGACAUCUUAGAAGAGAUAAGACAUUUGUCUGAAUGUUUUUUCUUUUUUAGGUUUCCACAUUCUUUUAUUUUUUUAAUGUAAUUUUUUUAUUACGUUUUCAAGACAGAAUUUAAACUUUUUAAAAUUCACAAUAGUAAAUUAAAUUUUCCAACAUAUGAGCGUCAUAAUUCUUUUACAAAUAACAUAUAACACGACAUAAAUACAUCUAACAAUAACAACAUAUAUCACUGAGAUGACAUUCUGCCAGAGGGGUGAAAAUUAAUCAUUCAGUUCCAACCGAUAAUUUAUUUCACUAUAAUAAUUUAGAUAACCAAAGAGCCACUUAUCUCUUAUGUUUAGAUAGUUGUCACUUUCCAUAUUUAUCUGAUAACUAAGUUGAGUUUUUACUUGUGCCCAGUGUGGAGUAUUAAUCGAUUUCCGAUUCUUUGCUAUCAAUUGCUUGGCUGUAAUUCAGGUAUCUAUCAAGAGUAAUUAGGCAUGUGGGUAUGUAAUAAUUAAUUCUCUGGUAUUGUGGGAACUUCUUAACCUACAAGAGAUUCCAACUUUUCACUCAACAUUUGCCAAAAUAGAUAAAUGGGGCCACAGGACCAACAGAUGUGCAUGAAAUCUGCUGAUGGUGCAUGGCAUCUCCAGCUAAAAUCUGAAGAGUUAGUAUACAUCUGUUUUAUUCUCGAGCGGACCUUAAAGUGGAGUUCAACCAAACUGAGACAAUGUAUCGAUUUGUUAACCAAAUUUAAAGAUUUCACCCAUUCUGACAGUUUAAUCGGCCUGCUUAUAUCUAUUAUCGGUUGUAGAGUUCCCUGGGGAUUGUCUCUAAUUAUUUUUAUAUUUAAAUAGAAUUUAAUUCUCAAAUAUGUAAAUAACUCUGUACCUGGCAACUAAUUUAUAUUCUGUAGGUUUGUAAAGGAUUUUAAUUGUUGGUGGUCUUUAAUCUGAUAUAUACCUGCAUUCACCCUAUUUUCCAUUUUAAUAUCCUUUAUAUCAAGGGUCCUCAAACUACGGCCCGCAGGCCGGGUCCAGCCCGUCAGGGUCCUGAACCCAGCCCAAGCAUUUAGGGCCACCUGAUGGGCCCUAUAUCUUCAGGGGCCCGGUCAGCGCUGCAGUCGUGCAAUAUCACAACCAUUAAAAAAUUUCAGCCGCAAAGUAGUGCUGGGUCACUUCCUCCCAGCUCUCUCUGUGUGGGAGGGAAGAAAGACAGGCGAGGACGGGCGAGCCACGCCGACUCCCAUCAGCCACAGCCACCCUCCUGCAAAAAAAUAAGAACAUUUGGCUGUGUUUGUGUGUAUGUCAUUAUGUGUAUGUAUGUAUUUCAGUAUGUAUGUCUGUGUGUAUGUAUGUAUCUGUAUGUAUGUCUGUUUGUGUGUAUGUAUUUCAGUAUGUAUGUAUGUCAGUAUGUGUCUGUGUGUCUGUCUGUGUAUGUAUGUAUUUGUCUGUCUGUGUGUAUGUAUCUAUCUAUCUGUGUGUAUGUAUUCAGUAUGUAUGUCAGUAUGUGUCUGUGUGUCUGUCUGUGUAUGUAUGUAUGUAUGUAUGUAUGUGUUUGUAUGUGUGUCUAUGUAUGUAUAUGUCUGUCAAUGUAUGUCAGUAUGUAUAUAUGUCUGUCAGUGUCUAUGUAUGUCAGUAUGUAUGUGUGUCAGUAUGUAUGACCUUAUGCCUGUGUGUGUGUCUGUAUGUAUGUUUGUGUGUGACUGUCUGUAUAUGUCUAUGUGUCUGUUUCAGUAUGUAUAGGAAUUAGUUCAAAUUUGUUUCAAACUAUAGUGUGGCCCCCAGCAGUGUCUGAGGGACAGUAAACUGGCCCCCUGUUUAAAAAGUUUGAGGACCCCUGCUUUAAAUUAUCUUCUAUAAGUAAGAAGUGGAGCGAGGGAAUUAUUUUGUUUUUGAACUUUUAUUUUUUUUUGGACGAAUUAUUCACAUUCUUUUAGUGGGAUUCCAGUUGCAACAUUCAAAAUUAUUUACUUUUUUGAUCAUUGUAUAUUAUAUUUUUCGAUCAUUGUAUAUUAUAUAUUGUAUAUUAUAUUGGUAAAGGACCACUCCACACACAUAAAGAACUUCAGCUUGCUUGUCUAAAAGCCACUUUAGAAAUGUGCUGAUUUCUAUGAGAAAUUGUCACUUUUAUAAAUAAUUAAACAUCCUUACAUAAGUCUACUUGAGUACGCCUACCUCCACCAUGCAUAGCUCCUUCUCAGACCUCAGAUCAGAGUGCUUUGUAGUGUGUGGCAGGGAGAGCUUAUUUCCCAGUCAAGAGACUGGCAAAUGGUUAUUUACGGAAGUGAGUAUCUCAAGUUUAAGGGCAGAGUAAAUGUACUAAGAGCAUCGCUGGUUUAGAUAAUUUUUCCAGUUCAGCUAUUGUGACGCUAAAUUGGAAAUUCACCUUGAAUUUUCAUUUUCGUAAAUAAGCCAUUUAGUAUAUUCUAGAGAAAAUGGCAGGGCAUGCAAAGGCUGCAGUUCCUUUGAGCUCUCUUAAGAUUCACCCCAAUAAAUACUUGCAUGAAAAAAAUGUAUAAUUGGAUUCAUUGGGAGUAUAUCUACUAAACAGUGAUUUCCACUUUUUGGCCCAUUUGGGCAGAGGAGUGUUCUAUUAACAGUUUAAAAAAAUAUCUAGAAAUUUUAACAAAUUAUGAAAACAGGACUUUAUUGGCAUAAUUUACAGAUAACUAGUUAAGAUCAAAUGUUUUUCAUUUAGUGUAAUUUCUCAGUUCUAUUGAUGCUGUGGCAUUUGCCCGACGUGAUUCAUCUGUUAAAAUUCCACAGAGGAAGUUGGCUUCUAGUGUGUCAUAUUGCUUUGUUUAAUGCCAUAUCCUCGUGAAAUCAGAGCGGAGGAAAUAAGACUUUCAAUGAAGUGUUACAAGGAUUAGGAAACCUACAUGACAUUCGCAAUCAUUUUGUAAAACAUGAUGAUACAUAAAAAAACAGCCUUGAGGGCUCUCGUCAUGGAACUUUGCUAUUUCAAAGUGAAAGCGUCAUGCACAAAUCAUGAGGAGUUCACUGAUUUGGCUUUAUCCUUAGUCUGUACCUGGUGCUAUCCAACAUUUCCUGCAAAUACAUAGAUUAAGAGACUCUCAGCCAGAGAUUGCUCCCCACUAUUACAAGAUCCCUUUGGUUUGACUAACACAAUAUCUAUAGAUUACAGUUUAUUCUUUGCAGGGUGCCUUUCUGCUUGCUGAAGUGCUUUAUGUGCAUGGAGAGUCCUAUUUUAAAUGCCAAAUUCCAUGAGAAUUCAGCAGUUUUAUAAAUGCAUUAUGAAACACCUCCCUGGCUGUCAAUCAAGCAGGCAGUGUAUUUACUUCCUCCUUCUGUUAGUUUUUUGUGCUCUACAUCAGCACACCUGCCUUCUCCUUCAUUGUUCCUCCGCAGACCUCAGACUAGUGUACUUCACGACUGUGGGUACAGAGCACGCGAGCAGACGCGAUGGCACAGAUACAGAGGCUCUGCAAUGAGAACUGAAAGUUUGUUACGGGAAAAAAGGGGAGGAAUUGCAAAGGAGCAAGUCAUAAGAAAUGCAGCAUUUGCAAGCUCUUUUUAGAUGCAUGCAUGUAUUCAUUGGGUUUAAUAAACAGCGAUUUUUAGAUUUGUUCCUUUAAAUCAUAAUUGGCAUGCUGAGUAGCCUUGUAGUUGGCGUAGAGCCUCUUUUCUGUAAAUAGUGUCCUUCCUUGCAAUACAGCUGCAGCAUAAUAUGCAUUAUUCACCAAUCAAAUUAGUAUUUGAUGGAAUCUACAGACACUUCUCCUGCUAUAAGUAUUCAACAUAUAUAUACUGUAUAUAAAGUAUAAAAUAAAGGAGACAACUGUUUCAACAAAUACCAUGGAAAUGUAUAUAUGUGUGUGGUUAUUAUUAUUAUUAUUAUUAUGAUAUUUAUGUAGCGCCAUCAAAUUCCGCAGCACUUUACAAUGGGUGGACGAACAGACAUGUAGUUGUAACCAGACAAGUUGGACGCACAGGAACAGUGGGGUUGAGGGCCCUGCUCAAUGAGCUUACAUGCUAGAGGGAGUGGGGUAUAGUGACACAGUAACAGAGGGAUUGAGGGCCUGCUCAAUGAGCGUACAUGCUAGAGGGAGUGGGGUAAAGGAUAGUAUUAGACUAAUGACAGUUGCAGAAGAGGAAUCAUUCAGGAGCUAUUAACAGUUAAUUGAUCCGCUUUUAUGAAGAAAUGUUUUUUUAACGAUUUUUUGAAGGAGUGGAAACUGGGUGAGCAUCUAACGGAGGAGGGAAGCGAGUUCCACGGGAACGGUGCAACCCUCGAGAAAUCAUGAAGACGAGCAUCAGAGGUGGGAGUACGGACAGAAGAUAGACGUAUCUAAGUGAACCAUCAUUCCCAGAUCAUUACAUUACUACCAUUAAAAUGAGAAAGAAUGUCAUCAAUAUCCGUGGACAUUCAUGAAAAGUAACAACAUUCAAAUCCUUCUCUAGCUGGUUAAAAAUGCUACAUUGUUGUUUAUACAAUAUAUAUUUGACUCAUGCAAUUUAUAUGCUGCAUCUUGUUUACCUUAGCUACACCUGAGCUGCAUAUCAUCCAUUAAUAAGCCAAUAUAAAGAGGAAGUUAUCAUUGUAAAUGCAAUAAUUUGGCCGUACGCAUGUGUCUCUUUUGGUGUAGAAAAUUCUUAGGUCAACUGCACAGUGUCUGGAAUAAGAAAUUGCAUUUUGCUGGGGCUGGGAGAUGGUAUAAAGGGGUUAUGAGACCCAUCAACUUGUAGAGAAACAUUUAUUUUGUAACACAGGAUAAAGAACAACUACUAUGACAUUAAAUUGAGAGGUCUAGUGUUUUUAGAAUUCCUUUAAGAACUACAUUCACGUUUUGAUUCACCAUCUUUUUCCAAACACUUUAUACAAUCUGGUCUGCAAUUUUCUUUUCAAAUAUUUUUAUUGAACUUUUAACUGUAAAAACAACAUCAAGGGGAAGGGUUACAGGAAAAAAAGGGGUGAGGGGGAAAGGUUUUUCCAUCCACAAUAGCUUAAAUAUAUGUGAAAAAAAGAACAUAUAUUCAAAAAAUAAAUAUAUAUAUAAAUAAAACACGAUCAUAAAAAUACUAUAGGACAUUAUUAAACAAAGAAAUUGCCUAAGAAUUGUAGACAAUUUAAUUUAAGAUUGGUCUCUCAGAUAUAAAUAACCUCAUAUUUUAGACUCUAACCUCCAUACUGUCACAGACUUACCUGUACCUGGUGCCCACGCCGCUCUCCUCCUCGGCUGCAGGGGCAAAACACAUCGCGUGGCCACUCUGCUCCUGUUGUCAGACCGCGUGGUCUGAAUAGGAAUAAUAGACUUACCUUCGGUCCAACGAACGGCUCCCUCUGCUGCAAAAACUAAAAAAUAAAAGAGAGUGCAAGAUAAACCGUAUUGAUCAAAGAAACUAUGACAAUAAUAGCAGCUAAAAAACACGUAAAGAACCUUUCCCAAGUUUUGCAUACAUGCAAUUUGCUAAACUAAAGUGUCAGCGCUUAGCUGAUAUACCCUUAGAGAAAUGCUUUCUAGGGUACCACAAAUAAAUCAAAUCAAAGUUACUAUAGAAAGUAUAGUUAGAGGGUAUCAGCUUGAAGGAAAAAGUUAUCAUGCUGUAUGGGGAGUCCAAGUGCUUAUGAACUGUAUCCACUUCUGAGUUGUUUCAAAGUUAUGAUGUAGCCACCUUAAAAAUCACAGAGAAGUAGCAACAUAGUGUAAUACAGUACAUCUACUAACCCCUUAAGGACCUAACUUCUGGAAUAAAAGGGAAUCAUGACAUGUCACACGUGUCAUGUGUCCUUAAGGGGUUAAAGACCCUCCCCUCCCCCCCCAAUUUCACUUACAGAAUAUCGAUGUGGUGCUUGUUUCUAAGUCCCACUGUUUAAGCACAGGGUACAUUUUAACCAGCAAUACAGUCAGGGGGUUGCCAGUCCGUCAUCAGGGAGAUACCAACAGCUCUGUGCACUUGAGCCGGGAUGCAGUACUCCUGUUGUGGAAAAACGUCAACUCCUCUUCAAGAGAACUGGUAAUCCCGAUUUGGGAGAAGGUAUAAAGACACUGAAGUUUGGCCUACGUAAGAGGGGCGAAAUGCGUUAAUUGCCUGUGGAGUUAUUUUUAACAGCAGUGGAUUCACACAUGUGGUACUGCUUUCCAGCGGACAGAGGAGUUUGUCUUUCCACUACAGGAGUACUGCAUCCUGGCUCGAGUGCCCAGAGCUGUCGGUAUCUCCCUGAUGAUGGACUGGUAACCCUCUGACUGUAUUGCUGGUUAAAGUGUACCCUGUGCUUUUACAGCGGGACUUUGGAACAAGCACCACAUCGAUAUCAUCUUGCUGUAUCUCUGUGAUUUUUAAGGUGGAUACAUCAUAACAUUGAAGCAACUCAGAAGUGGAUACAGUUCAUAAGCACUUGGACUCCCCAAACAGCGUGAUAACCUUUUCCUUCAGGCUCUCUCUGCUGGUUCGCAGGCCGAACUGCAGGCCCCUACAAAGAAGUUAGGACUCUGCCCAUUCUAAGGGCAUUUCCUUAAAAAAAAAUGGAAAAUCAUGAUGUCACACCCUUAAUGGGACCACGUCAUCUAGGCGACCCCAUGCUGUUUUAUAGUCACAGAGAUGACGUGGACCAAUUAGAACACAUAUGAAACCCUUUAAAGCCUGUACAUGCCCUUACUCAUCUCCCUAUCAUGGUUUUUGUUUAGUAACACGUUUAGUGCUCCUGCGACGCUCUUGUGAUUUUCUGUUAUUGACGUUGGUUUCGUUUUGACUCUGUUAAGCUCUGGCAUCCUGACCCGGCUUGUAUAUUGACCUGUGUAUUUCUGGUAUCCUGACCCGGCUUGUAUAUUGACCUGUGUAUUUCUGGUAUCCUGACCCGGCUUGUAUAUUGACUUGUGUUUUUCUGGUAUCCUGACCCGGCUUGUAUAUUGACCUGUGUAUUUCUGGUAUCCUGACCCGGCUUGUAUAUUGACUUGUGUAUUUCUGGUAUCCUGACCCGGCUUGUAUAUUGACCUGUGUAUUUCUGGUAUCCUGACCUGGCUUGUAAUUUGACCUGUGUAUUUCUGGUAUCCUGACCUGACUCGUAUAUUGACCUGUGUAUUUCUGGUAUCCUGACCUGGCUUGUAUAUUGACCUGUGUAUUUCUAGAGUCCUGACCUUAUUUGGACAGGCUUGUUUUUCAUGUAUCCGUAUCUCUGUAUUCCUGACCUCGACUAUUCCUGACGUUGAUUCUUUCUUGUAAUAGGCUAAAUCCGGCCACUCUAAGGCCCAUUAAUGCGUCUUUUGGACCCUCACUUCGUGGGUAUGCUUUUUCCUACAUGCAAGUGUAACGACAACCAUGACACAUACGCAACUAUCUCCCCCUGUGUGAAGCACCUAGUCUUCUCACAUAAAAAUAUAAAAUGUAAAAUUCCUUUUAUAUGUAUACAAAAAAGAGUGUUUCCUUAAAUAAACAGAAAAAAGGGCACCUAAAAUAAGAGACUUGAACACAAUAUUUUUUAACAUUUGUUGAAAAAUGAAUCUGAGCUAACUGUUCCCAAAACGAACUCUUGAAGUGUAUCAGAUUUACAAUUUAUUCUUAAGAACACUAUAAUGAAACACAGUUAGUAUUAAUUUAGUGCUCGUCAAUUACAUUGUGAAUCUAUUUCAAUCUCCAUAUGAUAGAAUUAUUAUUUUUAUUUCAUACCUUCUCAGUAAACAACAUGAUUUGUACUUAUAUACCUUACUCUCUUAGAAUCAGAAUGAAUGAAUCAUGCAAAUUACAAUACCUUGAAUGAGCUGACGAUUGUGCUAUUUAAUAUGUUCUUUAUAGCUGUAUAAUAACAUUUCUAAUAUAGAAGUGCAAACUCAAAUUAUGGAGAGUUGCAGACACGGCGAGUCAUCAGGCUAAAGCCUAGUCUGUGGAUCCAUAGUUAACAGGACAGCAAUGCAUCGUAAAUCAAUCUGUCAGAGUAGUUUUGGUGUCUAGAAGUGAUCUAAUUUGCAAAAUUAAGGCAAAAACACAAUUUAUUGGAACUCUAAUAACUAGUGAUGCUCGUCCAAGGGGCAGCACCUCACUAAUAACAAACAAAUAAUAAGAAUAAAAUUAUACAUUUAUUUUUUCUGUUGGAGUUUUUAUAUUUUUCUGUGCAAAUCUACAUCUUUGAGAUGUGUCUGUCAGUUUAAUUAAUAUGAAAAGUUGUAUGAAUCACCCUCAUUGGCUGUUGAAGAGCCCUCUGUUCUUCUCAAUGUAUCCUGUUCAGACCGCAAUUAUGCUGUCCUCAAAGACAGGCCUACCUACUGGGAUUUCAUAUUGACUACACGCUUGUUGCAUUGUCUAAUCCUGGUGCUUCCAUUGCACAGUGUGAAAAGUGAAGCGAUAUUGUCUGACAGCUCUCCCCCAGCUCCAUGCAUUGAGUGUACCAUUCCUCCUAAUGUCAGCAGUCCCAGAAUCGGGACGCCGGUGGGAGGGGAGUAGAGGGUGCGAGCCAGUGAUACAAUUAUGUCACUGGCUCUGCCCAAAAGAUGGAGGACAUAGAAAGGGGGCUUGUCCUCCCACAUUACUGGCAGGUCAGCCUGGUGUGGAACAAAAUGCAAUAAACAAAACAGGUUGCACCUAAUAAUGAUAAUGCUGUAUUAAGUGUAAACGAGUCCAAGGGACACAGUCCAAGGUUUUAAGAAUUCACUGACUUUGCUUCCUUUAGCAUUUAAUUCUUUAUCCAUGGGUACAUGUAAAAGAGAAAAAAACAAAAAAGAGUCAAUGGUGCAGUAUUUCUCUGUAAGUGAACUCACACAACAUUCAAGUACAAAUUCCCACUCACAACAGGGUGUUGUGGUUGGGCUGCCACCAGAAAUUUUGGGGACCCUGACAAAGCACAGGGUCUGGGCCCCGACCCCCGGCCCACCCACAAGUCCGCCCACAGGACUCCUACCUAGUCCACUGACAAUGUUGUAGGACUGAAUGUGUUGUGUAUAGUGGAAGUGAAUUAGAAUGUGUGUAAUGGAUGUAGUGUUUGUGUGUAUUAGAUACUGUUUGUGCAGUGAAUGCAGAGUGUGUGUUUGUGUAGCAGAUGCAAUGUGUAUACUGAACGCAGAGUGUGUUUGAGUAGUGGAUGUAGUGUGUGUACAGUGAUGUAGUGUGUGUUUGUGCAGUAGAUGUAGUGUUUGUGUGUACUAGAUGCAAUGUGUUUAGUGGAUGCAGUGUCUGUAGUGUGUCUAUUAGACGCAGUAUCUCUGUAUAGUGAAUGCAACGUAUUUGAAUGUGUGGUGGAUGUAGUGUGUGUACUGUGAAUACAGGAUGUUUGUGUAGUGGAUGCUGUGUGUAUAGUUAAUGCAGAGUGUAUGUUAUUGUAGUGAGCGCAGAGUGUGUGUUAGUGUAGUGAAUGCAGAGUGUGUGUUAGUGUAGUGAAUGCAGAGUGUGUGUUAGUGUAGUGGAUGCAGAGUGUGUGUUAGUGUAGUGAAUGCAGAGAGUGUGUUAGUGUAGUGAAUGCGGAGUGUGUGUUAGUGUAGUGAAUGCAGAGUGUGUGUUAGUGUAGUGAAUGCAGAGUGCGUGCUAGUGUAGUGGAUGCAGAGUGUAUGUUAGUGUAGUGAAUGCAGAGUGUGUGUGUUUACUAGUGUAUGCUUUUUCCCCUCCCCCCACAUUAAAUGUAAUAUCUGUUAUUCCCCCCUCCCUGUUUCUUACCUGGUUCAGGGAGGGGGGAGAUUCCAUGAUUCCUGGUGGUCCGGUGGCAUUGUGGGGCCCCCCGGCUCCCUGUAUUUUCAGGGGGGACUGCAUCUGUAUGUUACAGCUCUUCCCUCUCUCUAACUCCCGCGUGGCGUGUGUGCCGCGCGGAGCGUUGCCAUGGUAGCCCGUGGCAACACUCUGACGGCCGCGGGUCUCGCGGGAGUUAGAGAGAGGGAAGAGCUGUAAUGUACUGUGCAGUCUGCUGGCCCCCCUGCAAAUACAGGGAGCCAAGAGGCCCGUGGCUGCACAUAUAUCUGCACAUAUAUAUAGCGAUCAUCAUAUAAAUAUGUGCAGAGAGGGAAUGUGGGGCCCAGGACUGCCGGGCCUGUGUCAACCGUCAUGGUUGUCACCCCCUGAUGACGGCCCUGUGUUGUGGUAUAAACCCCACCCAUGGAUAAGGGUGCCAUUUUUUUGUGAUGGGUGAAAUAAAUGAAAACAAUAUUGUUAUCACUGAAAUAAACAAUUGAACAGAAAAUAUAGUAUUGUACUCAUUUUUCAUAGAGCAGUCCAGCUGCUCCGUACUUCCGGUGUAGGUGGGAUAAUCCCCACCAAGGAUAGAUGUCUAGAUUCCAUUGGGUAAUGCUUCACCAGGAAGCCGGGAAUGGAGGUAAAAAUAGUAAAAAAAAAAAAAAAAAAAUACAAUAGAUACCAAAACAAUUUUAGUCUAAUGAAGCAGCUCUGAUAUAUCAUGCCCCUCACAGUACAGUUCCCUAUCAUUUAGGCAUUAAAUCACUUUUUUAAAGCACAGCCUUCCUAGGCAUUUCCUGUAAAGAGAGAUCUAAUGUUUAAACUUCCUUACUUUCACAGUGUGUUUAAUUUAGAAUUUCUUAUCUCCUGCUCUGUUAAUAGCCUCCUACGCCCUGCAGGAGCCUCCUCCUACGCCCUGCAGGAGCCUAAAGUCUAAUUUGCAGAGCAGGAGAUCGAAACUUCCAAAGUUAGUAAGAUCUGACCAUUUUUUUUGGCUAAAUCUGCAUAAACAGAAACAAAAGUCUUGUUAAUGGCAGAGAAUUGAGCAGUGAGACUGCAGGGGCAUGAUCUGUACACUAAAACAGCUUCAUUAAGUGACUAAUAUUAUAAAUUGAUUUCUGGCAUAUUUGACACGGUCUGUUUGACUAUACUAUUCUCCGGUAUCCUGAUUUGGCUCAUUAUUCAUUUGUGUGAUUUCUGGUUUUCUGACCCAGCGAGACUUGCAACUAUGUUAUUGCUUUCUGUCACUGUGUCAUUCUAUCUCCUCAGAAGUAUUCCAUCAGGCCUUGCCAGUGUUAGCUCUGCUAAUAUGUCUAUUUCUGUCUCUUUAUACUUCUCUGUCUCUCCUUCGCUAGUUUUGACCUAUGUUUGCGUGUUGUGUUGCACUGCAUCCUAACACGUCAUAAUUGAUCAACCGUUUGACAGCCACCAUGGAGGAAACAGAAUUAAAAUAGAAUGCAGAACACUGUUUCUUCUACAUUGGUCGUACAUGUGAUCAAUUUAACCGAAAUUAUCGGAUUUGAAAGCUCAUUUACAGUUCAUUGAUAAAUGAGUCAAACAUUUUUAUUCAUUCGGAAUUCCUUCCUGUCAUUGCUAACAGUUUAUUGAAUUAAUACUUUUACGUUUUCAAACUACAUUAAAUGUGUUUAGUCCUUUAAGACAGUUGUAGAACAAGGAUCAUGUUACCAUAGCAACGGUGGCAAAUUGUGCAUACCAGAUUAUUUGGAAGCUGACAUUCUUAUCUCUAGUACAAAUUAUUUGUUUCUUCUUUGUUCUUCUAAGGAUCCCCACAGAGAACGCAAACUCUGAGAUAUGUUCCCAUGCGAUCCGAUUUGUGUGAUCACCUUCUUCAAAUCAAUUCAUUCUACCUUUAGAGGUUCUGACUUGUUUAAAGGGAUUUAUAGCUUUAUAUUAUUUGUAGUAUAAUUUAAGCUUUGAAGAUAUGAGGGGGGAAAUGUCGGGAACCUUAACUAAAUGCAUAUUAGUUCUCGGAAGGUUUGCAAAAAUCACUAAGCUGACUAACUCUGCAAACACUUACUAUAAUUUAUUUGUUGGAAUAGGAGAUAGGAAUUAUGGUGUAAAUUAAAAAUAUUAAAGGGAAAUUACAUAAUUUGUAUUUAUCUUUAUAAGAAAUAGUUUUUUUUAAUUUAAAUUUUACUUAUCAAUAUAUCUGAUUUAUAUACUGGUUAUUUCACAGUGCUAUUAUGUUCGUUUUUUAAAUAGUUUUUUAAUGACGCAGUGAGAGAAUUAUGUUUUCCCUUCACAGAAAAGUGGAAAGACAAACCCCGAAAAGACAAGAAAUCUGUGGCGAAACCAGCCUUGCCACUGUCCACUGGAGGAGCCUGGUUGCUCGCCUGCUCCCUUUAGACUAUGGCCCACAGGGCCGUCUUUAAUAUUGAUUGGACCCUGGGCAAAACAUUUGCUUGGGCCCCCUGGACCAUGUACUCCCUCCCCAGGCGUGCAAACACGUUAUCACCCUUAACGCAGUGGCUACCUAAAGUAGAGAGGUGCAAGAAUAUUUUUUUUGGGCCUCCUUAUUGCAAGGAUGUUUAAAAGGUAGAUCCCCAUCUGUUGUGCAACUCCAGCAAUGCCUUGACAGCUGGGGCUCUACCAUUUAUCCAUAUUUGCAGGUUUGUAUUUAGCACUAAGCUGUUUUUGUGUGUUUCAAUGUAAACAGGUUUUUGUAUGGAAUAUGUUUGUAUGUGGCAUUGGCAUUUGAAUGUAAGCAUGUAUUUAUGUGUAGUGUUGGUUUUUGAAUGCAGGGGUGUGUAUACAUAUAAUGUUGGUGUUUAACACAGACGUGUAUUUGUAUGUUGUGCUGAAGCUUGAAUGCAGGGGUGUAUUUGUGUGUAGUGUUAGCGUGUGAAUGUUGAGAUGUAUGCACAUAUACACACACAAACACACAGGUAGAUAUGCACACAACCCGACACACAAAUACACACCCUGACACACAUACUAAUAACAUAACAUACAGAUACACUGAAACACACAAAGACAACGUACAGAUACACACUGACACACAUACAGACACACCGAUACACAUCCUGACAUACACAAAGAUACAAACACUGACACACAUGCAGUUACACAGACACACAUAUACACACCUGACACACUUGCAGAUACACACACACACACAGACUUCAUACAGAUACACACACAUAUAUACACACUGACAAACACACAGAUACAAAAAAUGACAACAUAUAGAUACACACACAGAUAUACAGACAAACUGACACACAAACAUACACUGAUAGACAUACUUACACAGACACAUAAACCGACAGACAUACUGACACAUAGACAGACAGAUAUAUACUGAGACACACACAGACAUACUGACACACUGACAGACAUGCUGACACAUUCACCAACACACACACCGACAUACAGACACAAAGAGUCAAACUGAUACAGACAUGCACACACCGACAUACAGACAUGCACACACUGACAUACAUAUGGACACACAGAGACACAUACACUAACAGACAUGCUGACACACACACACAUAUACUGACAGACAUAUUGACACACAUUCACAGACACACACACAGACAUACUGACACACACACGCACUGACAGACAUACUGACACAUACACUGACAGACAUACUGACACAUACACUGACAGACAUACUAACACACACACGCACUGACAGACAUACUGACACACACACGCACUGACAGACAUACUGACACAUACACACAUACUGACACACACACGCACUGACAGACAUACUGACACACGCACUGACAGACAUACUGACACACACACUGACAGACAUACUGACACAUUCACAGAUACACAUGCAAAAUUUACACUAUUAAACCCACCCUUUCUACGUUGGAGGGUGACUUUCCUACCAGUGGCUGAAGCUGCUGGGAGUUGGGGUCUGGCUAGCUCGGCGCAGACCCCCACCGCUCUUCCUCUUCCUCCUCCCGCGCGCUCCUCUCUCUAUGGGAGGAAGUGACGUGCAGCCGUCACUUCCUCCUAGCCGGCUGCCGAAAAGCAAGAGGGCCUGGUCGCGCUCUUAAAGCGCCAGAGCGCAAGACCGGGCCCCUGCUGACAGAAGCCCACCGGCUGCGUGGCUGCACCGGCAGUUGGGAAAAAUGCUUGAGGUCAGCGGGGCCCACGGUGCAGCUGCUUCGGGCCCCCAAGAGUAACUGGGCCCGGGGCAGCUGCCCCGUUUGCCCCGCGGUAAAGACGGCCCUGAUGGCCCAGCAGUUAAAACCUUUUAUUUUCCCUGCAGAAAAGCGUAUUCGUGCCUUUCUGCAGACUGUUAAAGCCAUGCUACCCCAGAUAUCCAUGGCGAUUGAACUGUAUGUACGUAAUCUGAGCGCCAUCCGGUAAUAAUGUGCGCUCAGAUCUAAGCUAUCUGGGGAUAGGUAGAAUGUGUAUGUUCUAUGUUAUAAAUGUAACCUGGUGUAUUUUAUUGUAUUUUACUGUCUUUUUACUGCCAUGUGCUUAAUGGAGUUUUCCCUCUGUCCUUGGAGAUAAUUGGAUUACUUCCCAAUUAUCUCCAGGAUAGAAGACUCUGUGGAACUGGUUUUGAGCAGAAAAGCCAUGCUUCAUUUGGUCACAAAGGACUUCGAUCUAUCUUUUGAACCAAUGGACCAAUUUGGAUGAUUUUGACAUAUGUUUGUAUUUGGAGUUUGCUGAUUCUGAAAAUGUCAUUUUUGGAGAUUUGAUGUGUGGUUUUAAAGUUACAGGAUAUGUGUAAAACUGUAUUUUUACUGCCUGUGUUAAUUAUGAGAAACCAUUGUGUAACAUAAUUAGAUCACAGGCAGAGGGGAGGAUUUUUGUAUGUAAUUGCAGGGAGUGUUUCUGUAAUGUACGUGUAUGAUUGGUUGUUUUGUAAAACCCUGUGGGUGGUCCUAUCUAAGGGAAACCUGCAUAAAAGAAGGUUCUUUUGGUGCCAGUAAAUAUAUUCUGCUUAACCCUCAAACGAAGUGUCGUCUCGUUAUUGGGGGAAUUGGAUGGUAUGCUGACUGCCAGGAGUGUAAACCUUGCAUAAGGUUUUUCCUGUUCAGCUGUUUCCAGUAUUCGUGUGUCUCCAGUUCGGGAGAUUGGUGAUUGCAGUAGCUGUCUGUGCAUCUGAAAGGGGAAUAUCGCCUAAACGGUUUUUAACCUCUUGUGGGCAAAACGGUCCGUUACUAGCCAAGAUGGCCGGACGUGCACUCUACUGGAGGCACUCACCGCUCCCCUGCUACAGAAUCUCCAAGUGGCCUAAACACCACAUGGCAGACCCAACAUGGUCGCUGUACCUCAACAUGCUCCCUUACUGGAGAGCAUGUCACUUCAGACUUGGAGGGAAAACUUUGACACACGCUUUGAACAGCUAUGUCAAGAAUUCGGGAGGCGAAUCGGGAACCCACGUGGAGGCACUACUUACUGAUCGCCGAUCUCACGAUGUGCGCUCCGCACUCCGAAGAUCUCACGGGUCCGCAAACCUACCGCACGCCGCAGGAAGAUCCCUGGAGAUGCUGAUAAAGCUCCCAUUAAAGCAUGGCAUUCAGGAGCUUCAGAGCCCGGGCACAGCACACUACUGCAGACAAGCAAGCAGGAAGCCUGGCUGAAGGGAGAGCACAACAUGGAGGCACAUACCGAUACUAGUCCAAGCAGGGCUACAGACUAUCUAGCCUGGCCUACACGUGGUUUGGGGUAGACCUGAGACAUAGUCCUCCUGUUAAUCACCAGCCACUCCCGUUAAUGCAGGGGCAUAUUGCCUCUCCAUAUUGCUUUCACCUCUCUGCCUUUUCUUUUAUGCUCUUCUCUUUUCUCUUUAGUUUAACUACCUGACUGGCGAGGUGAACCCCAGUGGCACUCAAGCUAACUAGCUAUCGCCGGCUGAGUUUACAGCUGCUUAGUGUAACUUAAUACAGAGCUAGCUCAUCAUAGAAAUUAGUUCUUGAACACAAUAUCUCAGUAACAUAAGCAUGUUUCACAACCUACCUUAAUACUUUUAUUACCAUGUCUAUGACUUUGCAUAGCUUAGUAUCUUUCUUAAUAGUUAAUCUAGGCAUGUUAUGUGUAGCCUGUACUUUACAUUGCAUAUAAAAAAUUGUGCAGUGUAUCCAAAUGCCCUGUAACUAUUAUGCUUUGUCGUUAACUGUCUUGCAAAUGCUGCUGGGCAUUGUACAACUGUCUGUUAAUCAUAUGCACACAAAGAUAAAGAAUUAUAAAAAAAAACAAAUAAAAAAAACGGUCCGUUACAAAACAUAACUUCACAUCGACACACAAACACGGAUGAGUUAAAGGGGAACUGUUACUUCACCGAUUUUUUAGUAUUAAGAUUACUUGUCUGUUGUAUUUAUCAAAUGUGCAUUUGUGAGUUGGAAUAAAUAAAAUAAAAUGUAUGAAUCCAUUGUCUUUAUCCUGUAACUGGGUGCCUCCAUUUAGCUCCCUGUCAGCCAUUGUUUUAAGCUCUGUCCUUUGCACCUGGCAGUCAGCAUAUAGAAAGUAUACAGGGAAGAGAACAUUUGAAAAUUGUUUCAAUCAAGGUUAUCAAAGUAAGACUUCAAGGUAAAUUCAAGUGAAUUUUAAAGUGCAGGUCAAAGUAGCCGAACUGGAGAAAUUCUGUAAGCCCACUAUUGUUUAAGUUUAACUACUCUGCCCUUAAAUUUGAAAUUCACUUUGAAUUCUUACUUAAGUUAAUAAUGCUGCUAAUCUAGUCAUUCGCAAUGUGACCCAGUCAAAUUCUUAAUAUAAAUUUAAUGGAAAACAGAGCACCUCAUGAAUAAAAGGUUAACACAAGUUAUAUGUGAUUUUCAAAUUUAUAUUCAGCUGUAUGAAUUCUAGAACUAAUGAACUGGGUAGUAACAAUAUAGCAAAAGCCAAAACCUGGUUAGAAAAUCUUUUUUAGUGGAGCUGGGACUUUAAAUCACAAUGCACAAUAGAAUUAUGUAUUAAUAAUCCUGCAGCAAUCAGACACUGCAUUACAAAAAAAGAUCCUCUAUGGCGGUUUAUUUGUGACAUAUUUGUAAAAUAAACUACAGUAGCAUGCGAUAACAUGUGUAAACAAGAACCACUGCCAGUUAAACAUAUGUAACGUCUUUAUCAAAAUUAAAUGUCCUUUUAAAUGCAAUUCAUUUUUUCCUUUCAUCCCUCCCUCCGAACAUAGUGUUUGUCUUUUUUUCUGCAAGCAUAUUGCUGUUUACAAUGUGAAGACUUGGUUGUCUGGCAGUUGUACUUCAUCUGUUAGCUUAAAGGGACUCUUCCUGUAAAGAGUCAUCUAAUGUUUACACUUGCUUUAUUGCAAAUUCUGUUAGAUUUCGAAUUUAUCUCCUGCUGUGUUACUAGCUUGCUAGACCCUACAGGAGCCUCCUGUAUGUAAUUAAAGCUCAGUUUACAGAGCAGGAGAUAACAACUUUUAAAGUAAGCGACAUCCUAUUGAAAUUGAAACUAUUUUGUUUUUAUGCAGGCUGUGUCAGUCACAGCUAGGGCUGCUGUAAAUGGAAACAAAAGUGGGUUAACUCCUAAAUGGCAGAGAAUUGAGCAGUGAAAAUUCACUGCAAAAUUCACAUACAUUAAAACUGCUUCAUUAAGCUAAAGUUGUUUUGGUGACUAUAGUUUCCCUUUAAUAUAAUGGAACUACAAUUCCCAGAAACCUUUGCUGUAUCCAUAAGUAUGAUUAGCUGAGUGACUUGUAUAAUUAAAACCCCCAGCAGAGGCUGGGCAGCUUUGAGUUUUACUACAAAUGCUGGAAUUUCAAAUGUAGUUAUAUUUUUAUCAAAGGGACACUAUAGUCACCAAAACAACUUAAUUAGUGGUUUUGAUGUACAGAUCAUGCCCCGGCAGUCUUGCUGCUGAAUUCUCUGCUAUUUAGGAGUUAAAUCUUCUUAUAUGUGACUUGCACAGACGUCCUAAACACUAAAGAGAGACGUAAUGUUUAGACUUCCUUUAUUGCAAAUUAUGUUUAAUUUAGAAUUUCUUGUCUCCUGUCCUGUUAAUAGCUUGCUAGACCCUGCAGGAGCCUCCUGUGUGUGAUUAAAGGUCAAUUUACAGAGCUGCAGGAGAUAAAAACUUACAGACACUCCUCACUUACUGACCAGGUUCUGUUCCUAUAACGAAUUGGUCGGUAAGUGAGGAGUUAAGGGAUUCCCUGAUCUGGUGUGUUCGUCUAUGUUCAAGGAAACUUCCCCGAACAUAGACGAACACACCAGAGCAGGGACCCAUCUAAUCUAUGUUUGAGGAAAUUUCUCUGAACAUAGAUUUGAGGGAUCCCCUGACCUGUGCGCUUUUCUAUGUUUGGGGAAGCAUCCCCGAACAUAGACGAACGCACCAGAGCAGGGAAUUCCUCUAAUCUAUGCCCAUGGAAAUUUCUCUGAAUAUAGAUUAGAGGGAUUCCCUGCUCUCGUGUGUUUGUCUAUGUUCAGGGAAGUUUCCCCAAACAUAGACCAUGCGCACCAGAGCAGGGAAUCCCCACGACGGCUUGCACUUACGCCAUUUUUUCAUGCAGGCUGUGUCAGUCAAAGCUAGGACUGUAUAAACAGAAACACAAGUGAUUUCACUUCUAAAUGACAAAUAAUUGAGCAGUGAGACUGCAGAUGUAUGAUCUAUUCACACAAAAAAACGCUUCACUAAGCUAAAGUUGCUUUGGUGACUAUAGUGUCCCUUUAAUUUUAUAUUAUUGUUUUUGCAUUUUUUUUAAAUUCAAAAAUAAUCAGCUCCAGCCUGUAGUGUCCUUUCAAACUAACACGAAACCUGGUUUAUUUGCCAUCUGAGUGAUGUGAUGAAUAUGCUUUUGGAUCAAGAACAGUUUCAGGGAUUUAUGAAAGUUUAAACUUGAUGUAUUUAUACUGUUAAAUUAAAUAUAGAAAUUUGUAAAAUUGUCAAGUCAAUUUACUGAAUUUAGAGCUCAAUUAAGCUUUAACCAAAACAUAACAAUCAACAUUCCAAUUUCUGUUUCUUACACAGGGUGUCAACUUUAAUAUGAAUUGCACUGUUUUCAAUUAUUAUUAUUAUUAUUUUAGUAAUAAAUGUAAUCUAAGCAUUAAUUAAAACUGAAAUGCAGAAUACAGGUUGUGUCAUUUUCUCCUUCUGUGUAAAGAUACUUGCAUAAUUAGAACCCAUCAAACACUAGUCACAUUCUUUGCCCUAAUGACUGUCACUGACCUGGUAGGCUGAUUAGGAGCUGGAACACAAUAAAAGUGACAUCAUAUCCUUGCAAGCACGACCUCUAGGUGAACCUAGGUGAAGUGAGGAGAGGGUCCUAGGAAAUCUAUGGUGGCACAUGGUCUUUAGUCCAAGCAAGGUGUUUAAGCAGAAUAGGAAAAAAGGAAGUCAGUCAGUACAUCCAAGGUCAGGGCAGGCAGCAAAGGUUUAUGAAUGGGUAAACAUAGCCAAGUUCAAUGUAGACGGGAGACCCAUUGGCACUGGCAGCAGGGAAAGACCAGAAGGCAGGUAUGUAGGGUAAGAACAGUGCCUGGGUUAAGCCAGGCAAAGGAGCAGCACUCCAGGUAACAAUAAACAAGCACUGUACUCUGUGCUCAUAUAUUUUAAAGAGGUUCCCUGUUCACAAUAAGGGCCUCCUCCUGAUUCUAUAAAUGAUGUAAGGUAUAAGAGUUUCAUUUUAGCAUAUAAGAGCAGACACUGAGGCCAGAGCUCCAAACCUGGAAGUAUGGACAACCACAGCAUGGCAUGGAGGAUGCAAUGGGUGAUGCUGGUGGUGAGGAACAGCUGAAGGACUUCCCCCUAGGACCAUGUGACAAUGACACUCAGACUUUAUUACAGUCUACAGGUCAUCAUCAGCUCCAUAAUAUUCUGCUGUCUAUAAACAAGCUGAACAUUUUGAAUAUUAUCAUGGCAUAGACUAUUAUUGAACCAGUUUAACAUCUACCAACCCCCACUACUGCCUCAGGCCGCCCUAGUGUAUGCACGUUACUAGAACACGGAACAACCCGAAGACAUAUUAACUGCUCCCAGGCUCUUGCCUUACAACACAAUAGAAUGGAAGGUUUGCAUCCAUAAUCUUAGCUACUCACCUGCAAGUACAAGGUGGAUCAGGCAACGUUUCACCUCGUACCUUACUACACUUCUGUUAAGUUACACUAGGUUUAAAACUUUAAUUUAUUAAUACAAAAAAAGAGCACACUCAAAGAUGCCAUAACUUUUGUUUGCUUAUAACGACUGAGCCUGGGAAUGCGGUUGUGGCAAUGCUGGGACUGUUGUACUCACCUGCAUAUCAAAAAUAAAAAAAAUAUUAAAAAAAAUCUACCUUAAAUUUGAAAUAAUUUAGAAUUUCUGGCAAUUCUCAGUUUUGUGAAUAAGCCUGCUGGUAUUUUAUGAAUGUCUCCCUAAUUCAGAUUAACAUUAUUUCCCCUAAUAUAUGCUUCAGCAUUAUGUAUUUGAUAUGCUACUUUUUAAGAUAGAGAUUAGGACUAGGCCUACGGUUAGUGUGCAUACAUGUCCCCAUGCUGCUUGACAUUAUUGGCAGAUACAUUCUUGGAAGUGUACCUCGCCCUGAUUGCCCUUGCUCUGUCACUUCAUGUAGAUUAGUAGCCCCUAUGGAUGCAGGUAUUCACAUCUUGCAUUUUUUAAAUACAUUUUUAUGAAAAAAAAAUAAUACAAUAAACAUAGAUAACCUUGCAGGUUAAGCAAUACAAAUUUGAUAGAAAAGAUCAAUUAAAGAAUCUUAUUUAAGGUACAAAGAUCACAUAUUUACAUUCCCCGGGCAUUAUGGUUUUUAAUUUAUGGCGUGAUGUCACCCUCGCAUUUAUAUAACAGAUAGAAAGAGAAUUCCAUUAACUACAAACAUCGCCUGACGGUGGUAAAAAUGGGUGUAAUAGAGGAAAGGAAGUUUAUCUUAGAAGGUAGUUACAAUGUGGUAAUACUAAUGGGAAACUGACAGACACAAAACGAAAGACAGCCAAAAUAUUGUGUGUCAAAAAGGCUGUAUAUACCCGUGUAUAAGUCGAUAAAUUUUAGUCUUAAAUGUCAUUUUAAAAAGCAGAGUCGACUUAUCCAGGGGUCAGUGCUAGUUUCAAUAGAAUUUUGUAUGGCGUUCAGGAGUCAAACAGCGUUCAGGAGUUGAACAGCGUCUGGGAGUCUAAUGCGGGGCAAUGUCGACUCCUGAAUGGCAUUCUCCUAGCUGGUCAGGAAGUCGAACGGGCAGGGGUACAAGUUUCAGCGGGGUUCAGGGGCUUGCGUAACCGACUCAGAGAUCCAUGCCGUUGAUGACUAUGUACCGCUGCCUGCAUUCAGGAGACAACACGUGCGUUUGUAUAUACGAAUGGCAGCCACUCAGGGAAUGCUUGUUUUUGGUUAACAGCCAGGGGUGGUCGGUGAUUACGAGGUGUUAACAAGGGGGAACACACGAGACUGUUCGGUAACUGAACAGAAACCGAACAAUUCCAUUCGAAUAAGAUACCCUCAACUUAUCCACGAUUCAUAGCAUAUUUCACAAUUGUUGGUCAAAAAACUGCAUUUGACUUAUACACGAGAUCGACUUAUAGAUGAGUAUAUACGGUAUGUGCUUACAGCUGCUACCACACUGUAUGUGUAAUUCUAAAUAAAAAAAAUCACACAGCCACGUGAAGAAUCAAUGAACCGUGGAAUGCCAUAUAACCUUUAAAGAGCAAUAAUCAUGUGAUUGGUGUACAAUAAAAUGAAUGGAUAUUACGAUUGAUAGAAUACUGUAAAACCUUAAAGUAUAUUUUUAGAAAUGAAGGUGCUCAUGGAACACUUACAGUAGCGAGAGCUAAUGCACCUAGCUCUGGUGUGUAGAACCUUUUGGUCCGUUUUGGGCACUCCCUCUCCUUUUCUGUGCAACAAUUAUAAUUAAAACCAUGUUACUUCCAGGGGAAAGGAAAUGUGCAAAAUAUUGAAAUUCUACAGAAUAUAUAACUUGUAUAUUGUUAUUAUUAUUAUUAUUAUGACUAUAAUUGUUGAUGGUACUUAUUAUACUCAAAAAGAUAGAGUCUACAGCCUGGCUCAGUAUGAAAGCUUUAUGUGGUUAAGAACCACAUCAUCUUCUUUAAGAAUGCAGGACUCCAGACAGUAGAUAUUUUUAAAAAAACCUUUUACUUCUAUUAAUAGUUACCAACAAUACAAAAUAAUAAAAAGUGCCAUAUAAAAUACCAAUAUCUAUUGUGGAGUCCUUGUUGUAGUUCCAGAAAUGUGUUUCGCCGUCUUUUGGCUUCCAUCAACCGAAAGACUCCCAUAAGAGAAUGGGACCAUUAGACUGAGGUUACACCCUGGAACACAAGGCAGGUGCUUCCCACCCACUUUUUGCAUGACCUUUGUUUAUUUUUCUUUUGUUUAUAUUUAUAAUUUAACAUGAGAUUAAUAAAGUAUGUUGAUGGAGAAAUGUGCAGAUCUGAAUGACAAUUUCCAAAACAUAUUCUGCUACUGCUGUAAAAAAAGCUGAACAUCAGUUAAACUUGUUCAGUCAUUUUCAUGCCAUACAUAUAUCUAUGUUCAUUUGCAAAUGUCCUCUUCUAGCUUGCAGGCUUAGAUUGUUCCAAUGGAUACACAACCAGUGAGGAUCCAAACACCGAGAAUCCCUUGGGUGAAGCCAC
Non-coding RNA from Pelobates cultripes (western spadefoot toad), 35456 nucleotides. NCBI's taxonomy places the organism in Eukaryota, Metazoa, Chordata, Amphibia, Anura, Pelobatidae. The record is from the annotation of a GenBank genome assembly.